UGGUGGGUAGUUUGACUGGGGCGGUCUCCUCCUAAAGAGUAACGGAGGAGCACGAAGGUUGGCUAAGCAUGGUCGGACAUCAUGCGGUUAGUGCAAAGGCAUAAGCCAGCUUGACUGCGAGAGUGACGGCUCGAGCAGGUACGAAAGUAGGUCUUAGUGAUCCGGUGGUUCUGAAUGGAAGGGCCAUCGCUCAACGGAUAAAAGGUACUCCGGGGAUAACAGGCUGAUACCGCCCAAGAGUUCAUAUCGACGGCGGUGUUUGGCACCUCGAUGUCGGCUCAUCACAUCCUGGGGCUGAAGUAGGUCCCAAGGGUAUGGCUGUUCGCCAUUUAAAGUGGUACGCGAGCUGGGUUUAGAACGUCGUGAGACAGUUCGGUCCCUAUCUGCCGUGGGCGUUGGAAGAUUGAGAGGGGUUGCUCCUAGUACGAGAGGACCGGAGUGAACGCACCACUGGUGUUCGGGUUGUCAUGCCAAUGGCAUUGCCCGGUAGCUAAGUGCGGAAGAGAUAACCGCUGAAAGCAUCUAAGCGGGAAACUUGCCUCGAGAUG
RNAcentral lists this ribosomal RNA (548 nucleotides) under Proteus mirabilis. Its description in RNAcentral is "partial 23S ribosomal RNA". It matches the Rfam family "Bacterial large subunit ribosomal RNA", at positions 2259 to 2806 of the family's 2925-position model. The record is from RNAcentral. Lineage: Bacteria; Pseudomonadati; Pseudomonadota; Gammaproteobacteria; Enterobacterales; Morganellaceae.